This 1502-nucleotide long non-coding RNA is filed under the name Homo sapiens (human). RNAcentral's name for it is "non-protein coding lnc-KLHL35-3:1". The record is from RNAcentral. Lineage: Eukaryota; Metazoa; Chordata; Mammalia; Primates; Hominidae.
CAGGAGGUCAGCACCUAACCCAGAGAGAACUUAACUGUGUCUAAAAGCUUCCAAAAAAGACUUUCCCCUUCCCAAACACUUCCUCUGCCCUGAGGGUCUUCGCAACCCCUUCCAAGCUUCUGCCUUCUGCAGCCCCAGCCCAUGCAGCAGGGAGUAUGUGGGGGCCCCCAAAGGGCUGAUGAUGCAGCCAUGUGUGUGUCCCUGUCCCUGCCAGACUGACCCCUUCUGGACAGCCAGCUCCCUGUCACCCUCCGACCACAGAGAGGCCCAGAACCAGUCCAUCUGCAGCCUGGCAGAGCUCCUGGAGCUGGCCAAGGGCAAUGCCACACUGCUGCUCAACCUGCGUGACCCGCCCCGGGAGCACCCCUACCGCAGCAGUUUUAUCAACGUGACUCUGGAGGCCGUGCUGCACUCCGGCUUCCCCCAGCACCAGGUGAGGCCCUGCAACGCAGCUCUGCCCCCGGGAGCCCUGGCCUGGCUAGAGCCCUGCUGCUGCAUAGCCUUUCCCUGUUGCACUCCGGACUUCAGCUUUCCCAUUUGUAAAAUGGGGAUCACACACUGCUCACUUCCCUGGCAGGGUCAUCAUGGGACAAGAGGGGAACAAGAAAACACUUUAAAAUGUAUAAAGGUCCAGGCGGUCAAGUUAUUUCAGUGAAGUGUUGCCCUGUCGUUUGGUGUAAUAAUCUGGGACCAGAGAAAUCUGACAUCAGUUUAGGACGGCACACUAGGUGCUAGUGGCCAUGUGCAGAGUAGUGGCUGUUUGGGUUUUCCCUCCCGUACUGACAGCAGGCCAGAAGCGAAGUUUCCUGAGUUGCUGCCAGUGCACUUUGCAGCCUUGGCUGGGACUGAGUCCUGCCCUGCUAAUGACUUCAUCUAAGCUUUCACCGCCUGCCAGGUCCUGUCUCCUCCUACCCUGAGAGUGCACACGUGUGCACACACACGCCCCGGCCCCCAGGCCCACAGCGCCUGGAGCCUACACCUGCAAAAUGUCAUCUUCAGCCCCCAGACCCUCUCAGGGUCCUCCCUUGCCCUUCCCCAGUGGCCAUGUGGGGUCCUUUGGUCCACGGACCCUCAGUCUGGAGCCUCAGUCUGGACUGGCCAUGACUGGAAGUUGGCCUCGGGCCGUCUGUCCACAGCCCCCGGACGAGUACUGUCUCAUGUGGGUCACUGCCGACCUGGUCUCCUUCACCCUCAUCGUGGGCAUCUUCGUGCUCCAGAAGUGAGUAGGAUCUGACCACUUCCGUGGCUGUCCCUACCCUGCAGCAGGCCCAGCCCCCACCCCAGCCAGGUGAACCCUCUCCUGAGCCCUGGGCCUCCGCUUGCCUGGGCACCAAGAAUGAAGUGUCCCUCUAUAUGGCCGAACUCCACUCAGCAGAGCUUUCUUGAGCCUCUGCUCUGUGUCCAGCACUCUACCAGGCCCUGGGGACAUAGAUGCCCAGAACCCACCCUGGUCCUUGAGGUAUUUUGGGGGCCCAGGCAGCAACCAUACAGAAUAUGGCCAG